AUUCCAGCUCCAAUAGCGUAUAUUAAAGUUGUUGCAGUUAAAAAGCUCGUAGUUGAACUUCAGACCUGGCCGGGCGGUCUGCCUCACGGUAUGUACUGUCUGGCUGGGUCUUACCUCUUGGUGAGCCGGCAUGCUCUUCACUGGGCGUGUCGGGGAACCAGGACUUUUACCUUGAGAAAAUUAGAGUGUUCAAAGCAGGCCUAUGCCCGAAUACAUUAGCAUGGAAUAAUAAAAUAGGACGUGCGGUUCUAUUUUGUUGGUUUCUAGAGUCGCCGUAAUGAUUAAUAGGGAUAGUUGGGGGCAUUAGUAUUCAGUUGCUAGAGGUGAAAUUCUUGGAUUUACUGAAGACUAACUACUGCGAAAGCAUUUGCCAAGGAUGUUUUCAUU
This 387-nucleotide ribosomal RNA is filed under the name Fomes sp. RNAcentral's name for it is "partial small subunit ribosomal RNA". It matches the Rfam family "Eukaryotic small subunit ribosomal RNA", at positions 582 to 974 of the family's 1831-position model. The record is from RNAcentral. Lineage: Eukaryota; Fungi; Basidiomycota; Agaricomycetes; Polyporales; Polyporaceae.